This 253-nucleotide ribosomal RNA is filed under the name uncultured bacterium. Its description in RNAcentral is "partial 16S ribosomal RNA". It matches the Rfam family "Bacterial small subunit ribosomal RNA", at positions 524 to 776 of the family's 1533-position model. The record is from RNAcentral.
UACGGAGGGUGCAAGCGUUAUCCGGAUGUACUGGGUUUAAAGGGUGCGUAGGUGGGUAGGUAAGUCAGUGGGGAAAUCUUCAAGCUUAACUUGGAAACUGCCAUUGAUACUAUUUAUCUUGAAUACUUUGGAGGUAAGCGGAAUAUGUCAUGUAGCGGUGAAAUGCUUAGAUAUGACAUAGAACACCAAUUGCGAAGGCAGCUUACUACACAGUUAUUGACACUGAGGCACGAAAUCGUGGGGAUCAAACAGG